GUGGGGAAUAUUGGACAAUGGGGGGAACCCUGAUCCAGCCAUGCCGCGUGUGUGAAGAAGGCCUUUUGGUUGUAAAGCACUUUAAGCGAGGAGGAGGCUACCGAGAUUAAUACUCUUGGAUAGUGGACGUUACUCGCAGAAUAAGCACCGGCUAACUCUGUGCCAGCAGCCGCGGUAAUACAGAGGGUGCAAGCGUUAAUCGGAUUUACUGGGCGUAAAGCGCGCGUAGGUGGCCAAUUAAGUCAAAUGUGAAAUCCCUGAGCUUAACUUAGGAAUUGCAUUCGAUACUGGGAAGCUAGAGUAUGGGAGAGGAUGGUAGAAUUCCAGGUGUAGCGGUGAAAUGCGUAGAGAUCUGGAGGAAUACCGAUGGCGAAGGCAGCCAUCUGGCCUAAUACUGACGCUGAGGUACGAAAGCAUGGGGAGCAAACAGGAUUAGAAACCCGGGUAGUCC
Molecule: ribosomal RNA, 451 nt
Filed under: uncultured bacterium
Lineage: Bacteria
Description: partial 16S ribosomal RNA
Rfam family: Bacterial small subunit ribosomal RNA
Source: RNAcentral